GGCCCGGCAGGGGAGAACGGCUCGUGACCCAAGCCUGCUUCUACUCUGCGGGCGCUCGCGCUCGCACGCGCGGUGGCGGCGUGAGAGCCGCCGACUAGCCGGGACCUGUCGCCGCGAGGCCUGGGCGCCCAUCACCGAACUAGGGGAACCGCUGGGAAGGGAACCGGCGGCGGCAUUUGCCAUCCAGACGACGCCCGUGGGUCAGGCACGCAUAUACGCGCGCCUAUGCGUCUCUGCUGAGCGCCCCUCGCGAGGGAACCGACGAUUCGUCGUGAGGGAGUUAUUAGGAUCGGCUCCGAGCCGUGGAACCGCCGCAUCGCCCGAUGACCAUGGAAGCGUCGAUGUGCUAGGCCUGCGGCAGAUAUCUGCGCGGGGAUCUGGACCAAGCAAGCGCGGAUGACAACGGGACGAUAACGCCGCGAAAGGGGGCGGCGCUGACGUCACAAACCACGGGUUCUACGGGCUACAAAAGGACGCUCAGAAGAAGAACGCCCCGCAGUCCGGUGGAGCAGCGACCGAGCUCUGACCGUGUUUUCUUUGUUAUAGGCACCGGAUUUUCUCGGAUGAGCGCACAAGUUUGCCGGCCGGGAACACAGAGGACAAAGCUGGCGUCGUCUGCAACACAGAUGACCGAGAAGCGGUGUUGGGGUCUGCGUUUUACUACCAAGAGACGCACGCUCUAACGCAACGAGGCUUGUGCUUCGUGUGGGCCGGGUGAACCAUACAGGCAUUCCACAGGAAAUAUCAAUACGUGUUAAAUUCAUGAGGGAGUCCUCAAAGAUGUUUCAUGCAAUUUACAAAAAGAAAUAUCUGCCAUUACGUAGACAGUAAAUCCAGAAAGAGCACUGAUAUUGUUCAUGCAAAGCAUUUGAAAGGACAUGUCACACUGCCAUGCAUUGCGACAUACAGGGAGCAAGACACUUUGUCCCGUGCUGCCUGGAGCCCAAUGAAAAUGCAAGUAGAAAACAUCUUCACAAUUAAAACUGAAAACCUACACGAGUAUGAACAAAUUCUUGUGGUAUUAUUUGUUACCACUGAUUUGGUUAGAUGUCGAUGGCGAUCACAUUUCGCGGUUAUGUUAAAAAAAUGCGAGUCGAGACUGUGGCGCUUAACAUCACCAACAUUUGUAACAAUAAAAAAAUGGCAGUCAUUCUUUGUUGACUAGUUUUUGUG
This is a long non-coding RNA of Dermacentor albipictus, 1173 nucleotides long. RefSeq lists it as uncharacterized. The record is from RefSeq and is a predicted model, not a curated record. Lineage: Eukaryota; Metazoa; Arthropoda; Arachnida; Ixodida; Ixodidae.